This 1551-nucleotide long non-coding RNA is filed under the name Sus scrofa (pig). RNAcentral describes it as "lncRNA (ENSSSCG00055018678.1)". Lineage: Eukaryota; Metazoa; Chordata; Mammalia; Artiodactyla; Suidae. The record is from RNAcentral.
GGUUUCAGCCCAAGGAUGACAACGUGCCCAGGUUUUCAGUGAGGAAGGGUGCCUGGGCAGCUUCAGGAGGGAGAACACCUGAGGGGUGAAGACCCCGCCUUCUGCGCAAAGAGAAGAGGAGAAGCUGUGAGGGGCACAGCAGGUGCCCUGGGGCUGAGCCGGGACAGACGCUGCAGAAACAGCUGGAGGGGAAUCAAUUUGUUCUCUGCUACAGCCAGACAGAAACCAAUUAGAGCGGACCCAACAGGGGCCUCGGUGUGGGGAGAGACAAACACGAGGAGGGCAAAUCCAGGCAUGUUAAUCCUUGCUGGGACUUUCCAGCUGCCCGUGGGACAGAGCCCAGGCUCGCAGGAAGGUGGCCCAGACGGCCUCUGUCCUCUCGUCCCCUCUGUGUCCUGCUGCACCCCCGCCCCUCCUCCUCCCACCCAGACACGCAGCCUCAGGGAGGUGUGGGCUCCUGCCCCGGGUGUCCUGCCAGUCUGUCCUCCGCAGGCCGGUCCCCAGACCCACGCACCCCCAGGCGCGUUCCUCCAGCCCCACCUGCCGGUUCCCUCCACUGCACUGGACUUGGCUCCGUGGGGGCUCCAGCGAGAGCACUGGGAAGAUGGGGGGCUCCAGUCUGAGCUCAGCACUGGGACUUCCCCCCACAUCCGUGAGCAGGGGACCCGCACACGCAGUGCGCCUCCAGACGCCCACUCUGAUCACAAUGCUCCCCCCCGCACCCCCCCCCCAGAAAUAAGCCACCAGCUGUGCCCAGGCCAGAGCCUGCGGACCCCCCCCAACCGCUGCUGGUGCCUGGUGCCGUGUGGGAUGUGAGAGAGCCCUGUGCGGGCCCCCUACACGCGGUGGGGUCCGGUUUGGCAGGAACCAGCAUUUCGGCGUCUACAGCCUGAGAAGGGUCUGGGCUGUGCCUUCUCGGGGGGGCUCCUGGUUCCCAGCGUGGGCCUUCCAAGGAGUGGCAGCUGGGGACGGCUCUUUUCCUCCCCCAGUCUAGGAUCUAGGGAGGUCCAAGGAGGGCGGUCCUAUGUCCCUAUGUGUGAUGUUGCCACCUCCUGCCUGUCCCCACACCCAGGACCCUCGGCACCCAUCGUGGUUUCUUGAGUGCCUCCUGCCUGCCAGCGUCGGGCAGGGGCCCAGGCCGCACCUUCCCAGUUUAGAGGACAGGCCAUCUCGCGGGCCAUGAGGACUGGUGGGCAGUCUGUGAAGGCUGCCUGGAGGAGGGGACGCUCGGGCUGGCAUGGUAGGACAGUGAGGAUGUGCCCUGGGCAAAUGGGGGGACAGUCCUGGAGACCUCCCGUCUUCUACUCGCCCUGUGCCCCCCCCGGUGCCCCGCCCUCCCCAUGGAGUCCCCCCCCCUGCCCCUGCCACUCUGGGAUGGCCUCGGGACCCCCUUCCAGGAGCCCCCCUCCCCAGCUCCUUGCAGAGGCACACGCAGCUCAGGAAGCUUAUUUCAGUCUGUUGGUUUUUUUCCUUUUUUUAAUCUCUCUUUCUCUAAAGGAAAAAUCCAUGAAGAACUUCUGGUAAAUAAAAUCACCCCCCCUCGUUCCGAGU